RNAcentral lists this ribosomal RNA (549 nucleotides) under Calyptoliva sp. MNHN IM 2007-39266. Its description in RNAcentral is "partial 16S ribosomal RNA". It matches the Rfam family "Bacterial large subunit ribosomal RNA", at positions 1798 to 2613 of the family's 2925-position model. Lineage: Eukaryota; Metazoa; Mollusca; Gastropoda; Neogastropoda; Olividae. The record is from RNAcentral.
GCCUGUUUAUCAAAAACAUCGCUCCUCGUGAACUAAAAAUGAGGAGUCGGACCUGCCCGGUGAAAAUUUUUAACGGCCGCGGUACUCUGACCGUGCAAAGGUAGCAUAAUCAUUUGCCUUAUAAUUGAAGGCUAGUAUGAAUGGUUUGACGAGAAUACAGCUGUCUCUUUAUAAUUACAAAAAAAUUUAUAUUUAGGUGAAGAAGCCUAAAUCUUAUUAAAAGACAAGAAGACCCUGUCGAGCUUUAAAGAAAUUAGCAGAGAAAAUCAAGUUAAAAUUAUAAGCAUUAACUGUUAAAAAUUUUGGUUGGGGCGACCAAGGAACAAACAAAGCUUCCUUAAUUGAAUAAAAUUGUAACUUACCAGCAUUGAUCCAAUAUUAUUGAUUAAUGAAAUUAGUUACCGCAGGGAUAACAGCAUUAUCUUUUUUAAGAGCUCUAAUCGAAAAAAAGGUUUGUGACCUCGAUGUUGGACCAGAAUAUCCCAAAGGUGUAGCAGCCUUUAAAGGUUGGUCUGUUCGACCAUUAAAAUUCUACGUGAUCUGAGUUCA